UGGGGAAUAUUGCACAAUGGGCGCAAGCCUGAUGCAGCGACGCCGCGUGGGGGAUGACGGCCUUCGGGUUGUAAACCUCUUUCACCAUCGGCGAAGCCCAUAGCUUUUGUUGUGGGUGACGGUAGGUGGAGAAGAAGCCCCGGCUAACUACGUGCCAGCAGCCGCGGUAAUACGUAGGGGGCAAGCGUUGUCCGGAUUUAUUGGGCGUAAAGAGCGUGUAGGCGGCCAGAUAGGUCGGUUGUGAAAACUGGAGGCUCAACCUUCAGACGUCGACCGAAACCAUCUGGCUAGAGUCCGGAAGAGGAGAGUGGAAUUCCUGGGUGUAGCGGUGAAAUGCGCAGAUAUCAGGAAGAACACCCGUGGCGAAGGCGGCUCUUCUUGGGACGGUACUGACGCUGAGACGCGAAAGCGUGGGGGAGCGAACA
This 425-nucleotide ribosomal RNA is filed under the name uncultured Actinomycetes bacterium. RNAcentral's name for it is "bacterial SSU rRNA". It matches the Rfam family "Bacterial small subunit ribosomal RNA", at positions 355 to 774 of the family's 1533-position model. The record is from RNAcentral. Lineage: Bacteria; Bacillati; Actinomycetota; Actinomycetes.